This 2446-nucleotide long non-coding RNA is filed under the name Homo sapiens (human). Its description in RNAcentral is "non-protein coding lnc-DCAF1-1:1". The record is from RNAcentral. Lineage: Eukaryota; Metazoa; Chordata; Mammalia; Primates; Hominidae.
UGCAGCAGUGGUGCUGGAAGGAUGACGUAGGGCAUUCGUGUACAUGCACUAGGGAUGUCUUCGAUUCUUUUAGCUUGAUUGAUUAAACCAGGACUCUGAACAGGUUUAAAAAUCCAUCCUCUGUCAAAGGUUUUACUGACAACUUUCCAUACAGUUGGUCAAAAAAUAAAAAAAUACAGAACCACAGCAGACAGUAUCUUGUACACUAGAAAUCAACAUAACCGGAUUCCCUUCUCAUCGUUUAAAAAAAAAAAUCCCCCAAAAUCUAAGAACUUAGUUUUGGUGGUGGACAGGACUUUGAUCCCCACCCAAAUGAACCAAAAUAACCCAGGAGAUAAUUCAAACCAAAGUGGUAGGGUAGAGAGGGGAUCAGAUUUUAAAAUAACUGCUUUUGUGACACAAACAUGACGCUGGGAAAGACAGGCUUGGGCUAGGCAGUGUCUCUGACGAUGACUAUCACCAUGUGUUCUUCUUCUAGCUUGCCCAAUGUCCUUAGUGCUGACUGGAGGUACUGCUGGGAAAAGUCGCAGGGUGGGAAGGCGUAGAGCAUGCCUGUGCCGUCUCUGCCCUUGGACCCCCCCACUGGCAAGCUGAUCACCCCUGCGGCCUGCUUCUGUUUCAAGUAGGAGACCAGGUUCCUGAGAAGCCGCCUCUGCAGACCGGGCUCUACUGUGGGCAUCCCCUCAGUGCCAAGCCCACUGGGGGUUGCCUGGGUGGCUAAGAGGACCGCAUAGCCGUUGGGGCUCCCCUGCUUGAUGCGUCGUGUGACCUCGUCAAGCUUGGGCUGGUCCAGUCGAAGGCGCUGGGCGAUCUUCAGCUGGGUCAGCUUGCUCCCAGAAGUGUGGUCUUUGAGGAGACUGCUGAUCACCCCCUGGUCCCCCUCUAGGAUAUGCAUAGACGUGGGGAAGCAGCUGUUUUUCAACACCAGAAGCCCAUUCCAACCCAGCUGUAGUGUCUGAGCGUACUCUGAAAGAUUCUUCAGCUUUUUGGUCUCGUGUUUUGGCUCUUCCAGAGGCUUGGGCUCGGCCUCUGUGGUCCGGUGAUUGCGCUCGCUGUCUCUUGCCUUCUUCCCGUGGGAAGAGUCUGCAGCCUCGUGGUGGUGGUGGUGGUGGCCCCGUUCCUCAGCCCCAUGUCUGCUGUUGCUGAGGGAGUUGCUGCUGGACUCCUUGGUCCCUUCACUGGAGUGGUUCUCCUUGCGGCUGCGCUCAGGGGUGCGGUCGGAGCCCCGCUCUGACUGCUGCCCACUGCCCUUGGUCCUACUCCGUUCCUCAUAUGGUGAAUGGGUUGUCCUCCCACGGUCACUGGAAAGGCUUCUCCGUUUCCGCCUCUCUUCCCAGGGCUUGGGCAAACCACGGUCUCCAUCUGCCCCCCAACGCUCACCACUCCGGCUGCGCACUGAGCGACUGUAGCCCUCAAGGCUGUUUCGGCGGUCAGAGCUUUUACUGGGGCUGGUCCAGUCCCCUUCCAAAAAAGUCCGGUCUCGGUCUGAGUACAGAAGGUGUGGGGGCGUCCUGUCCCGCACCAGGUCGGCGUCCAGGUUGCGGUGCCGGGUGUAUCCAUCUGUGAGCAGCUCAUAAUGCACAGGGAGUGGCGAGGGCUGGUACUGCUGGGGGUACCGAGUCUCCUCUGCUUUGGCAAAAUCCACGCGGAGCCUGCGGUCUGGUCCACCCAAGGGAAAACCCCUCAUUUUAGCACAGGCGGCCUGGGCUGCGUCCAAGCUCUCGUACUGAAUAUAGGCAAAGCUAUCUCCUUUGACGUGAUCAAUGGUCCGAAUGCUCCCAAAGCGGUCAAACUCUCGGGCCAGAGCCGCCAGUGACGUGUUAGGUCCCAGGCCACCCACCCAGAGACGAGUGGUGGGGUUGGCCUUGCCAUAGCCUAUCUUAAUGGGGUUGCGACCAAUCACUCGGCCCGACAUGGCCACCUUAGCCCUAUGGGCCAUGUCCAGGUUCUGGAACUUGAGGAAGGCAUAGGCACCGCCCUGGCCACGGGCAGGCCUCUUGAUGACCACCUCCUCGAUGAUGCCAUAUUUCUCGAAGGCCCUUCGCAGCUCCACCUCAGAUACGCUGUGGUCCAGGUUACCAAUGAAGAGGUUGCGCGUGGCCCGCUGGUCAUCCUCGGGCAUCAGGUCCUCCUCACACACAGCUGGGUAGCCAUAGGGGCGCCCACGGUCGUCGUACAGCCCGUAGUAGUCCAGGGCCCGCUCCCGGGACAGUCCCACGGCGGCGGCAGCAGCGGCAUCCAGGGCGAAGGCUGCGGCGGCGUGACGGGCACGGGGCUCCCGCAGGGGCGGGGCAGCGACGGGGGACAGCGAGCGCUGCUUGUACUGGUAGCCUCCGUGUAGCGGGAGGUAGCCGAGCGGGUCGGCGGGCUAGAGUCUCGCUCGCUCUGCCGCUUCAUGGCGCUGGCGCGGCGGGCGGGCGGCCCGUAGGUUUCUCACAGCGGCGGC